CCUACGGGUGGCAGCAGUGGGGGAUAUUGCACAAUGGGGGAAACCCUGAUGCAGCGACGCCGCGUGGGCGAAGAAGUAUUUCGGUAUGUAAAGCCCUAUUAGCAGGGAAGAAGAAAUGACGGUAUCUGACGAAUAAGCCAUGGCUAACUACGUGCCAGCAGCUGCGGCAAUACGGAGGUGGCAAGCGUUGUCCGGGUUUACUGGGUGUAAAGGGUGUGUAGCCGGGUUGACAAGGCAGAUGUGAAAUCCUGCGGCUUAAACGCAGAACUGCAUUUGAAACUGUUGAUCUUGAGUACUGGAGAGGCAGACGGAAUUCCUGGUGUAGCGGAGAAAUGCGUAGAUAUUAGGAGGAACACCAGUGGCGAAGGCGGUCUGCUGGACAGCAACUGACGGUGAGGCGCGAAAGCGUGGGGAGCGAACAGGAUUAGAUACCCCUGUAGUC
Molecule: ribosomal RNA, 442 nt
Filed under: uncultured bacterium
Lineage: Bacteria
Description: partial 16S ribosomal RNA
Rfam family: Bacterial small subunit ribosomal RNA
Source: RNAcentral